AUUGAACGCUGGCGGCAUGCUCUACACAUGCAAGUCGAACGGUAACAGGCCGCAAGGUGCUGACGAGUGGCGAACGGGUGAGUAAUGCAUCGGAACGUGCCCAGUCGUGGGGGAUAACUACUCGAAAGAGUAGCUAAUACCGCAUACGAUCUAUGGAUGAAAGCGGGGGACCGUAAGGCCUCGCGCGCUUGGAGCGGCCGAUGUCGGAUUAGGUAGUUGGUGGGGUAAAGGCUCACCAAGCCAACGAUCUGUAGCUGGUCUGAGAGGGCGACCAGCCACACUGGAACUGAGACACGGCCCAGACUCCUACGGGAGGCAGCAGUGGGGAAUUUUGGACAAUGGGCGCAAGCCUGAUCCAGCAAUGCCGCGUGCAGGAAGAAGGCCUUCGGGUUGUAAACUGCUUUUGUACGGAACGAAACGGCUCUGGUUAAUACCCGGGGCUAAUGACGUUACCGUAAGAAUAAGCACCGGCUAACUACGUG
RNAcentral lists this ribosomal RNA (482 nucleotides) under uncultured bacterium. RNAcentral describes it as "partial 16S ribosomal RNA". It matches the Rfam family "Bacterial small subunit ribosomal RNA", at positions 30 to 507 of the family's 1533-position model. The record is from RNAcentral.